GACGAACGCUGGCGGCGUGCCUAAUACAUGCAAGUCGAACGAACUCUGGUAUUGAUUGGUGCUUGCAUCAUGAUUUACAUUUGAGUGAGUGGCGAACUGGUGAGUAACACGUGGGAAACCUGCCCAGAAGCGGGGGAUAACACCUGGAAACAGAUGCUAAUACCGCAUAACAACUUGGACCGCAUGGUCCGAGUUUGAAAGAUGGCUUCAGCUAUCACUUUUGGAUGGUCCCGCGGCGUAUUAGCUAGAUGGUGGGGUAACGGCUCACCAUGGCAAUGAUACGUAGCCGACCUGAGAGGGUAAUCGGCCACAUUGGGACUGAGACACGGCCCAAACUCCUACGGGAGGCAGCAGUAGGGAAUCUUCCACAAUGGACGAAAGUCUGAUGGAGCAACGCCGCGUGAGUGAAGAAGGGUUUCGGCUCGUAAAACUCUGUUGUUAAAGAAGAACAUAUCUGAGAGUAACUGUUCAGGUAUUGACGGUAUUUAACCAGAAAGCCACGGCUAACUACGUGCCAGCAGCCGCGGUAAUACGUAGGUGGCAAGCGUUGUCCGGAUUUAUUGGGCGUAAAGCGAGCGCAGGCGGUUUUUUAAGUCUGAUGUGAAAGCCUUCGGCUCAACCGAAGAAGUGCAUCGGAAACUGGGAAACUUGAGUGCAGAAGAGGACAGUGGAACUCCAUGUGUAGCGGUGAAAUGCGUAGAUAUAUGGAAGAACACCAGUGGCGAAGGCGGCUGUCUGGUCUGUAACUGACGCUGAGGCUCGAAAGUAUGGGUAGCAAACAGGAUUAGAUACCCUGGUAGUCCAUACCGUAAACGAUGAAUGCUAAGUGUUGGAGGGUUUCCGCCCUUCAGUGCUGCAGCUAACGCAUUAAGCAUUCCGCCUGGGGAGUACGGCCGCAAGGCUGAAACUCAAAGGAAUUGACGGGGGCCCGCACAAGCGGUGGAGCAUGUGGUUUAAUUCGAAGCUACGCGAAGAACCUUACCAGGUCUUGACAUACUAUGCAAAUCUAAGAGAUUAGACGUUCCCUUCGGGGACAUGGAUACAGGUGGUGCAUGGUUGUCGUCAGCUCGUGUCGUGAGAUGUUGGGUUAAGUCCCGCAACGAGCGCAACCCUUAUUAUCAGUUGCCAGCAUUAAGUUGGGCACUCUGGUGAGACUGCCGGUGACAAACCGGAGGAAGGUGGGGAUGACGUCAAAUCAUCAUGCCCCUUAUGACCUGGGCUACACACGUGCUACAAUGGAUGGUAUAACGAGUUGCGAACUCGCGAGAGUAAGCUAAUCUCUUAAAGCCAUUCUCAGUUCGGAUUGUAGGCUGCAACUCGCCUACAUGAAGUCGGAAUCGCUAGUAAUCGCGGAUCAGCAUGCCGCGGUGAAUACGUUCCCGGGCCUUGUACACACCGCCCGUCACACCAUGAGAGUUUGUAACACCCAAAGUCGGUGGGGUAACCUUUUAGGAACCAGCCGCCUAAGGUGGGACAGAUGAUUAGGGUG
RNAcentral lists this ribosomal RNA (1489 nucleotides) under Lactiplantibacillus pentosus. RNAcentral's name for it is "bacterial SSU rRNA". It matches the Rfam family "Bacterial small subunit ribosomal RNA". Lineage: Bacteria; Bacillati; Bacillota; Bacilli; Lactobacillales; Lactobacillaceae. The record is from RNAcentral.